GAUGAACGCUGGCGGCGUGCCUAAUACAUGCAAGUCGAGCGAACGGACGAGAAGCUUGCUUUUCUGAUGUUAGCGGCGGACGGGUGAGUAACACGUGGAUAACCUACCUAUAAGACUGGGAUAACUUCGGGAAACCGGAGCUAAUACCGGAUAAUAUUUUGAACCGCAUGGUUCAAUAGUGAAAGACGGUCUUGCUGUCACUUAUAGAUGGAUCCGCGCUGCAUUAGCUAGUUGGUAAGGUAACGGCUUACCAAGGCAACGAUGCAUAGCCGACCUGAGAGGGUGAUCGGCCACACUGGACCUGAGACACGGUCCAAACUCCUACGGGAGGAAGCGGUAGGAAAUCUUCCGAAAUGGGCGAAAGCCUAACGAGGCAACGCGGCGUGGGUAAUGAAGGUCUUCGGAUCGUAAACCUCUGUUAUUGGGAAAGAAAAUAUGUGUAAGUAACUGUGAACAUCUUGACGGUACCUAAUCAGAAAGCCACGGCUAACUACGU
This 496-nucleotide ribosomal RNA is filed under the name uncultured bacterium. Its description in RNAcentral is "partial 16S ribosomal RNA". It matches the Rfam family "Bacterial small subunit ribosomal RNA", at positions 28 to 506 of the family's 1533-position model. The record is from RNAcentral.